AGUGACACCUAAUAAUAUAUAGUGGCAAACUAGUAGAACCGAAAAAGAAUCUCAAGGAUUAGUUCACAUGUGAUUUAAUCCUUCUAUCAUGAGUCCCGACUAGAUGGAAGGUCAUGGAUAAAUCAUCAAACCUCAUCAUUAGUCAUAUGAUAGAUUCGAUUUGCUCUAGUCCAAUUGUGAUCCUCAUAGAAAAUCUUUUUCAUCUAUCACACUACUG
This 217-nucleotide long non-coding RNA is filed under the name Elaeis guineensis (African oil palm). RNAcentral describes it as "long non-coding RNA (EGUI_LNC046417)". Lineage: Eukaryota; Viridiplantae; Streptophyta; Magnoliopsida; Arecales; Arecaceae. The record is from RNAcentral.